RNAcentral lists this long non-coding RNA (38589 nucleotides) under Phaseolus vulgaris (common bean). RNAcentral describes it as "long non-coding RNA (PVUL_LNC002792)". Lineage: Eukaryota; Viridiplantae; Streptophyta; Magnoliopsida; Fabales; Fabaceae. The record is from RNAcentral.
GAAUAACUAGUAUUCCAUCAUCCUGAGAGAGAAUCAGAACAGAGGAGAUAAGGGCUUAACACACAAUAAAAUUAACAAAGCCUGUCGAUCAUUUCAUAAUAGAAAUAGGAAUACCUUGAAUGUCUUCUGAUGUAAUAAAUUUAGGACACAUAUUGGACUACUAAUUUACUCUCCAUUGAAAUGAAAUGAAAAUAAAUGCUAUAUUGGACUACUAAUUUACUCUCCAUUCCCCUAACAAGUCAAGAAAAUUCAAUACUAUAACUUGCAAAAUUUACUUAUAGUGACGAAUAACAGUGACACACAUACACACAACAUCAUACUGGAGUAAAACAUUAUAAGAAAGUGUAUUUGUAUUCAGAAUAUAUUUUGUAUAUAUAUUAUGGAUUUAAUUCUAUCAUUCUAUAAUUUCUUUUUGCUUUUUUACAAUCCUUGUUAAAUUAUAAUCUAUUCAUUUUUGUAACUAUUUCAUUCAAAAUGCUUACAUAUUUUUUUAUAAGUAUUUGCACAAUAAUACCAUGAUUACUUCCUUAUCAUAUAUAUUGUGAUUCAUUCAUGAAUAUUUCAUUUAUUUAAUUUCUUUCUAAUUUAUAUUUGAACAUGAAUAGUAUUAUUAACACUAAAAAACUUUACCUAUAAAUAAAACAAUUUAAUGAUAAAUCAAAUCAUGGAAAAUUAAAAGCUAUUUUAGUUUUCAGUUUUUUUUUUGUUUUUUUGUUUUUUUCUAAAUAAUAUGUAAUACGACACUGUGCAUUGCACAUAUCACCGUACUAGUUUUAACAUCUGAAACUUGAUAACAUUAAGCUAGAGCAUUACUGACAAAUUAAUGCAGAUAUUACAGUACCUUUAGCAAACGUUGGAAAGCAACCCGCAUUUCAGUUCUUACUUUAUACAAGGUUUUCAUACGAUCAUGUGUACUAUUCAUGGCUGAAUUAAUACGCUUGGACACAGUACGUCCUAACCUGGGUUUGACUGAUUUAAACCACUUUUCAUGAUUGGUUUUGAAUUCAUAUCUGAAGAGCAGAAGCAAAAUUGCAAUACAGGGUUAUAUAAGACCCUAAAAAAAUCUAAAAUGCAAUAUCUUUAUUAAAAAAGGGAAAUGAUUCAUCAACCAUAUGGAAACAUAAAGUAUAACAUAACAUAAAUUCAAUAGUAAAACUCUAAAGGAUAAAUUAGCAUACCCUUGUAAGGAAAACAUAACCGAAGUGAGAUCUUUCAAUAUAGAUACUGCAUUUUGUUGGUGUGUCAAUUUAUCACGAAACCCCUUUAAACUGGGAACAUUAGAGGCAAUAUACUGGCAAAUAUUCAUAUGCUGCGGGGACUGAUCUGCAAAACCAAUUGGACCAAAAGACUUCAUUGAUCAUAAUACACACAAAUUUCCUUUUAUCAUGUCAAGACAUUCAAAGUUUUGCCACUCACUGUAUUAACAAUCAACCAUACAACAAUAGCAACAAAAGCCUUUUCCCACCAGAUAUUAACAAUCAAGUGAAUCAGCCAUAAAAAGUAAAUUAAUAUGCAUAAAGGAGUCAUAAAUUGGUCUUCGAAGGUAAAGAAACUUACAACCAGACAAAUUUUCAAUUGCUCUGUGAAUAAUAUAUACUGUUUUCUGUGAAGGAACUUUAGAUAGUUGAAAAAGAUCAUCAGCAAAAAUAAUACGCCUUGUCCUUUUGAGCUCCACCAAAUUCUUUGGAAGUAAAACAAGUCCAACAUGAUGUAGGACAGAACUAUCCCGAGCAAACCAUCCUACAAUAUGCAAUGAGGCAAUAAACAAUUAAAGAAGAAAAUAUUAAAAAAAAUUGUGUGCAAAUUAAAUGAAAACAGUGGAAUCCCAUUUCAACCCAAUGAGCAGUAAUUUAUAAUUAAGGUAAGGUAACCAUAUGUUACGCUGGGAUGUCAGACCAAGACCAAACAAGGCAUGUUACACUAUAGAAACUGGAAAGCAAUACCGAAUUCAAUGGUUUGAAAGAGAUUAAAGGUAUAUGUGGAUAUUUCAAAUAAAUAAAACCUCGUAAUACAUGAAAAAAUUAAAAGCAUAGUGACAAAAUCACACAAUCAAGCUUCAUACCAACAGUGUCCAAGCUUUGUGCAUUUGGAAGAACUCCAAUGGUGGAUACAAUCCCAUGAGAUGGUCGAAACCCAAGAAUACCACAGAAUGCUGCGGGAAUUCUCACACAUCCUGUUGUAUCGGUACCUACAAAAGCAGAUACAUUAGAGAGAAAACAAUGCAAAUGAUUUUUAUGAGCACAAAGUAAUUGUAAUGUGUAUGUUUUUAUCAACCCUGAUAUGGAUUAAAGAAAGUGAGAAACUAUGCAGAGCAAGCCAUGCUGUAACAAUACAUGAAUGAGAUCACAAUAAUAUAGUACGAGCCGGAAUCCUGAAAUUGUGAAUACAACUAUCAAAAUAUAAUGUGUAGAUCCCCACAACCAUGGAACUGAAAUUUUAAUAAGUGUCAGCAAAGUAAAAUUCAUUUCACGACUGUAUAAGACCAAAUAAUACACACAAACGAACACUUUCCGCUUUCCAGGAAUACAUUUGAACACAAGAACAAUCCCAAUGUCCUAAACAAAAUAAAAGCGACGUUUGUUUAUUAUAUUGAAUAGGAAAGCUAAUAAGUGAGAAUACAUACACACAUUGAGAAAAUGGCAAUUUCAAAUGAACGGUAACUUGACAAGCAAGUAAACUAAACUCACCAAUAGCAAAGUCAACGAGGCCAGCAGCGACAGCAACAGCCGAACCACUGGAAGAACCGCCAGGGAUGGAUGAGGGCAAGUAAGGAUUGGUUGGCGUUCCAUAAAACUUGUUCUCACCGGAAAUCCUGCAAAGCCGACGACGAAUGCCACCAACAAACGAGGAAAGAAAACGAGUUCAGAAUCAAAAGGUUAAUAAAUAUAUCUCAAUGAUAAAGAACUGAUACACACUAACACUUAUUACAUACCCAAAAGAGAAUUCAUCCAUAACAGUCUUGCCAACGCAAGUAGCACCGCUGGAGAGGAGAGCAGUGAUGACAAUGGCAGUCUUCCCAGCUUCACUGUGCGUCCUCUUCCAAUGUGGGUUCCCAAACCCCGUCACAUACCCCUUCACAUCGAAUCUGCCGCAAACACGCAAUCACCACAACUCGUUUAGAAUCAGUACGCAAAAAUAUUUGAAGCAGAGAGAAAUAAAGAAAUGAAGGACGAAACGAACAUGUCUUUGAUGGCGAAGGUUAGGGCAGAGAGCGCUUGUGUUUGCGUUUGCGUUUGCGUUUGAUCGGGUUGAGGAAUGGGGAGAAGUUGGAAACGCUCUACCAAUGCACCGAAGUCCUCUUUGGAGAGCUUCCGCCGUCGCCUCCUGCGGGUCUCGGCGAGAACGACGGCGCCGGCGAGUCCUACUCCGAUGAGGAGCCAGAGCUUAGGGUUGGAGAGCUUGAGCUUGAAGGAUUUAGACAUGAUCGCGAAUGUGAUGUGACGAUACAGAGCACUCCCAAUGAAAGGGUUUUAGAGAAAGGAGGGAAUGUCACCGCUAUCAUGCGCCGCUCCCAAAUAAACAUUCGCGCGAUUCUCUUUCUUUUUCUUUUUCUUGUUUAUUGGACAUACUCUACUUAUUUCUAUACUACCAUAAAACAUCCACAAAUCACUUCAUGAAUAAUUAAUUUAUAACUCCUUUAUUUUAAAAUAAUUCUCUUUCAAAAUUGUGUCACAUUAAUUGAGAAAUAUUUAAAUGAUAUAAAUUUAUAAGCAAAUCUGUUUAAAAUCUUUUUCAUGUCAAGGAUCUGUAUUAACUGUUAUUAUAUAUAUAAAAAAAAAACAUAUUGAGUGAGAAUUCUUAAUUAAAAUUGGAAAUAAAAACUAUAAGCAGAGGAUGAAAUAAUUAAUAAAAACCUUUUUUGAAUAAUAAAAGCUGAUAGUCUAUGUGUUCUUAUUCAAAAAGACUGAGAUAACUCAUGAACAAUUCAUUCUUUCAAAAUUUGGUAAAAUAAUUACUUAAUAAUAAUGUAAUUUUUUUUGAAAAUUGUGCUUAUUUAUAUGUUCACAGUGGGUCAUGUUAGUGUUAGGUCAAGAUUUACGUAUGAAUUGUGAUUAAUGAUGUAUUAUCUAGUUAUUCAUUCGACUUAACCUAGUUAAUAUUUUAUUGAUUAUAAUACAUUUUAAACAUGUCAAUCGAUCAAAAUUGGAUACCGAAAUUUGUGAGACUUGUGGUUUUCACUGGUACGAUAUAAUUGUGAACUUUAUAUUUUAAACAUGAGAAUGGAUAACUAAAAGUGCAUUUCCUUUUCCUUGGGGCAUAUCCUUUCCUAGUAUCUCAAUUAGUACUUCCUCUUCACUCAUUUUCCUUGUAUCAAUAAAAGAGAUUACAACAACUUCUAGUCAAAUUAUUUAAUAGCAAACAAACUUUACCCAAAGACAACGAACAGUUUAAUGGCUCAUACGUAGAACACUAGAACAUGCCACUCUCAUUUUAAAUCAUCAAGAGGAUUAUCACCUUGAGAUCAAUCAUAAUUUGAAGCGUGACAAAAGUUAAAAUAUCAGUGAAAUUAGUACUUGUAGAUGAGGAAAAUGAGUUUCUAAUUUUGAACAAAAUUAAUAUUAAUUUUCUUAAUUUUGAGUUGAAAAUGAAAUUUGGAAGUUUGGAGUGGAAGAGAAGACUAAAUUGUCAUGUUCAAACGUGAUUUACAUUUAGUUGAAGUACCUAAAAGAUGUAAACAUAAAAUAAUAUUUUUUUAAAAGUGGAAAAAUAAUAUUCAAAGUAUAUUGUAAAUUUCGUUCAUAACAAACGCAUAACUCUGAUACAAAUUUAAAAGCUAUGUCCAACUUCACACUGCUCCAUGUAAUAAUGAAAAUUACAGAGAAAAAUGAUGGUAAUAAUUAAUCUACACAAACAAAUCUUGAGAUACUAAAUGGCAAGAGAGGACCUAAUUUGAAGAACUUCAAUUUUACAGAGGAAUGGGCAAAACCUACUAUGAUCACGAGAUCUCCAAACAAAUGAAAGUCUAACAUUUAUGAAAUAUAUACCAAGAAAAUAUAGGGAAUAGUUGUGUUGUGUUUUUCAUGAAUCACCCCUUGAAACGAACUACAAUGCAUGAAAUAUCAUCCUUGCUGUCUUUGUCCAAUGCCUCUGCAACCAGCUUUUUGGCUGCCUUUUGUGGAUCUUUUAUCCUUCUUGCAAUAUCAACUGCUUCUUGGUUUGCCAUUACCUGCAAUGCAACUCAUCAAAAUAUAUAACCAUUUGUAAUUCUUUACACUGUUUAUUCAAUAUUUGAAGUGCUGCAGAAAUAAUGGAUAACCUUCCAAAGACCAUCACUAGCAAGUAUCAAAAGCUCAGCAUCUGGGUUAAUAUCAGAUUGAUGUACAUCAGGAUCAGAUCGUAAGUGUGAUUUUAGAUUUUUGUCUCCAAAUGCUCGAGAAACUGCAAGCUGCCCAUUCACUCUUGCAACAUCUCCUGAUAUAAACCACUCACAAGUCAACAAACUCUUCCAAAUCACAUAUUGUUAUCUAAUUUUGAAAGAAUAAGAUAUAUUAAGAAGUGAACUUUAAACUUAAAUCAAUCUCAUAAACCAGCUUGUUUGCACCUAUAUAUAUACUAUAAAAUGUCUUAAUCUCUAGUUGAUUCGUGAGGCAUCAGAUUCUCAUUGAAGAAGAACAAUGCCUAUACUCUAUAUAAGUGAAGCUCGGUGUUAUUCCAUAAAUUUAGAAGAUAUCAUGAAUGCAACAAAAUUAAACUAUAGUAAUAGGAACCAAACAUGUAUUCCUAUUCGGUCCAUAACUUCUCUCAAGACAAUUCCACAUCUCUGAGAUUGCUUCAGAUCAAUUGAUGUGGCACCAGAAACGCUUCUUGCAGAAACAAAUGAUUCCUCAAAAAUCAAACUGAUUGGUCACAUGCAAUAUUUUUCCAAGGUUUUAAUGACUUAUUUUCUAUUAUUCAUCACCAUAUUUAUUCAGAGGGGCUCGAUUACAGCUUCUGAAAUUUCAAUCAAACUAAAAGAUUCAAACACCCAACACCAAGAAGUAUUAAACAUUAAUCCUUCACACGUAGAUAAUCACAUCUAAGAUACUAUUAUUGAAAUUGUGCAGCAUUCUGGUCAACCAUAGGACACACACAAGAAGAUUGUUCUUGCGUGGGACAACAAAAUCUUUCUGGAACAGCACAAAAAACAAGGCUUUAGUCAUGCUUAAUUGAGUAUCCUAGUUAUCAGCACUUUCUGGCACUGAGGACAAUCCCAAUCUGAUCAGUGAGUUAUUAACACUUGAGAUUGCAGCUGUAUGUGUUAUUAUGGGUGAUAUAGACACGUAGCUAACAGAUAUGAACAGUUGCAGACUUGCCAGAGUCAAAGUCAACAACUUCUAAUUGGAGUUCCAUAAUUGGGAGAAAUAAGAUAUUAUUUCAUUCUGAGUUAUGACAGAUUCUAUAGCCGACAAAUAUUAGAAAUUUCGUUAUCAUCAUUAUGAUUUUAAAUUACAUAUUUAAGUAGUUGCAAGCUUAAAAAUGGGAUCUGCCUAAAAACUGACAAUCUUGCACUAAUAUUUGUGGAGCUUCAUUGUUUGUAAUUCAGUACUUCACCUAAUUUAAUAUUUAAUUAAUAUAUAUCAAGAUCAGUCCUUAUAUUUGAGUUUAGAGUGUAAAUCAAUACAACAAAGGUAACUUGUAAGGUAAAAAUUAUACAAGUCUUGUAAGCACUACAAGAGUCCAUGACUGCAAUUAAGGUGUACUAACUAAGUAGGGAUGACCACAAUUAAAGAAGUUUUCCAACACCUUAAAUUAUGAAAACUCAUUUCAUCUCACUCCUUUUGCAGUUUACAAUGGGAAAUAAUGUGAAAAAAUUCAUAUAGAACACGGCAUAAUUUAAGGCAUGUCAUCUCUGACAAAAGUUUUCAAAAAUAAAAUACAAGCAUAUAGGUGGAUUACCAGAAAAGAGGGAAUAAUAGUUUAUUUUUUUCCUCUGUUUCUUUAGCUGUCUCUCUGUUUGGUUGACUCAAAGCUCAAAGUAUAAAUAAGAUGGUAAUGCCAAGUGAACUAUUACAAAUAAAAUAAUUUAACUUCAAUUCUCUGUUUAGGAAGCCAGAUUCUGUUACUCUUCGGUUUAUCUCCUAUUUUACAUCAAAAUAAGGUUUUCUUGAUGAAAUUUCUCUUUUUUUUCAGAACUUCAAGCACUGGUCUAAAAAUAGUUAUGAUGCAGACAUUCAUUACCCUUAGCGAACUGAUGGACAGUCCUUGCCUUAUGGUCCAGAAAGAGGUAGAAAUAAUGAAUUUCAAAAAAAUAAAUCCACAAAUUCUGAUCAAAAGAAGAAAGUAAAUGUCUAUUGAGGUAUGAACCCUCAACCUGAUGUAGCAAAUAUUUUUAGAAACAAAGUAACAUGUAUACUCUGUGUCUGUCCCUUCCUCUUUAAAAUGCAAAUUAGACUCAUGAUGCAUAAAUCCUAUUCCAAACACUUCAUAUUAUUGAAAUCUCAGAAUGACAACAUAAAUCCCCGCAUUGAACAUAGACAUUGUUGCAUAGUGAUAUCUAACAUGAAAAUUUUUAUAAAAAAUAUCUAACAGACGUUAACUAACUAAGGUUUAUUAAAGAACCUGGCAUGUUUGAGACAAAGCCCCCUUUGUUCUCGAUAUGGCCCCUCUCAGUAUUUGGCUCGUGAUCAAUAGUCACCUGAAUGGCCUCCCCCUUCCUUGACAGAACUGCUCGUGAAUCACCAACAUUUGCGACUAUUAACUUCUGAUUAUUAAUAAGAAUUGCAGUCACUGCAGUAGAUCCUCCUCGCCCCAAAUCAGAACUGUGAGAAAGAAUGGCCUGAUCUGUUGACUCAUAAGCUUUGAUGAUAGAACGGGCAGGAUCAGUCCAGAAGUCCUCCUGGAACAGUCAAUCUUAUUCAAGAGUACAAAAUGUAAUUCCAAAAUAGAAUCAUGCCAAGAGGCAUUACAAAUAUGGAAAAAGAAAAUUAGGCCAAACUUCAAGGUUUUCUGACAAUAAAGAGGUUAUACAAGAUUACAUUUCUUACUGUCAAUAUUGAUCCCGAAAAAAUAGAGUAUGGGAAGUUCGGAGUAAAAGGGGAAACUUUGUCCAAUCCAAGGAAUCAAAUGUAAUAAAUCAAUGCAUGAUACAUUUUAGUUUGGUUCCAUAACUCACCUCCUUCAAGAUAUUGGAAAAAAGAUGCUUUUGUAAAUAGGUGGGCACACUCUCUCCCAAGUGUCCGUCGUAUAUAGCAAAAAGUCCUAACUCUUUCCCUCCGCACUUGACAAAUUUUGCUACAUGAUAGUCCUCCAUUGGGUGGUUUGCUUUCCCUUUAACUAGGCUAAAACCAUACUUAACAGGGCACAGGUGGCUCCUGCCCUUGCCAGAGCUACAUGAAGAGCGUCCUCCAACCACCUACAACUAUUGAAGUCAAAAUACAAUAACAAAAGAAUCUAAUGUUUAACAUAAAAUGCCAUCCAAGGAACAUGGUUGAAGUAUUAAAGAAAGACAAAGAAACAUGAUUGAUUAUGGAAGGAAGCAUAGCAUAAAUGUGAUGCCAGGAAAUAGGAAGUUGUCAAUACACACAACAUUCAGAAAUAAAAAAAGAUGUAUUAGAUAACUCUAUCUGGUUGAGUGUCACAUUUAAAAGGCCACAACCACAGAAUACUAAGUAUUUAUCAGCACCAACCAACAACCAAAUGAGUUAUAAAUAAAGCAUAGCUCAUAAGCAUGGUUUUGAAAAAUGGUCUGACUGCAAUUCGGUAUGCAAAGCCAAGGUUUUUUGGAUCAGUGACCCCAACAACACAACUGCAAUUGUGGGGCAUCAACCGCAUUUGUAAUACCUAACAAUAUCAAGAAUCGUAGCAACAACUGUGAGUUUAAAACCUUGUUCAUAGUAGACUGAAAAACACUUACAAAACAUCCAAGAGUCAAAAUUAUAUUAAAUAGAUAGUUUGGUUUAUAGCAACCGUUUGAAAUGAGCCCUAUGUCUGGAAAGUAGUUUACUGCAUAAAGUCCAAUGCAGAAUGCUCCUUUUCUGAGGGUACAGAUUAAAAGCACCAGAAAAAAAAAAUGUUUCAAUUUUCAUUAACAAGUACUCGAAGAAAAAUAAAAUUGGGAUAGUCCUAAGCCAUCCAUUGCCCUGGAAAAACUCAAUCCGCAGAUAGACAAAGGCUGCAUAAGGACCCUCUAAGAUACAAGGAAAUCUUUUAAAACUUUAAGAAAUUGUAUAAGCAUGAAGAUUGAUUAUUCUAAAGGCAAAACUUCAGAAUAAUAAUAAAGGCCACAAAUUCUUACCUGAUUGAAGCAACACAAACAAGCCAUGAAGUAAUUCAGCCCCGCCUCACCUUCCCCCUCUAUUACUCAACAUCAAACUCUUCCGCAAAUCUUCAAAACAGAAAAUUUCACAAAAAUUUGACGCCAGAUAAACUCCAAAACUCUCCAACAACUGUGAAUUAUCAGCAAAACAUUCCGAUCACUGAAGCAAGCAAUUCUAACAAUCCUCCCCAGAAAAGAGAAGGCAAAAGGAAAAUUUUCCAACACCCAGAUAACCAACAGGCUAAAAAAAUUCACAACCAGUCCAAAAAUUUGAAAUUUGUGACAGAAAAAUAUAGGAGAGAUGAGCAGGGGAAUUGGAUGGUAUUAAAAGAGAGAAAGCAAUAACCGAGGAACACCAAAAAGUUAUAAGAAAACGCCCCUUAUGAUGAAAAGAGGUUAUUGAAAAGAAAGAAUGGAAAAGAAGAUGGAGGGGUGGUAAGGUAACCUCGUGGUUUUGUUGAGAAAGUCUGGUCUGCAAUGGGUACGAAAAGGCAGAGGUUGCCCUUAUUGACUUUGCAGUUUUGUAUUUGUUGUUUUAUUGUGAAUGCUAUUGAAAUUGGUAUUGCUAUGCUGACAUACUUUGUUUGAUUAUUACAUACAGCUGUUUUGAGGUUUCAUUUCAUAGUUCUUCUCUCAACUCUCUCGCAUCCGUGGCUGCGUGCCUUGGGUUGGGUGAGGACCUGUGAAAGACUUCAAAAGUCAGCAACACUUUCUACCCUCUUUAAACUCUCUCUCUCUCUCUCUCAUUUUCCCUAAGCUCUUGUCCCAGAAGGAUAACACAAACAACCUUAUUUUACAAUGAAGAUUUUUGUUUUUAUAUUGUUACUCACUGAACCAAACACCACCAUCUGAUUAUACAAUGUAAAGAGUUUUACAGUAUAUCAUAUGAUAAAUUUAUUAACUUUUAUGCAGUAUAUCAUAUGAUACACAACUUUUUGUUAUUUUACCCUUAUUCUUUUGCAUUUAAGUCAUUGUUCUUUUAAAUUCAAUUAACUACCUCUACAAUAAAAAAAAAUGUUUCUGAUAAAUUUUUUUUAAAAAAAUUAUAAUAACUUAAUAUAAAGUUAUAAUUUAAUAAUAUAAUUUUAUUUUAUUUUAAUAAUCAUUACAAUAAUAAGUUCUUUAUUUUUUCUUAUCACAAGAAAAAAAAAUACAUAUACGCAUAACUUCUUUUAUUUGAUAUUUUCUGUGAUUUUAACCAUUAAUUUUUAUUUAUAUUAUUUGACUGUUUCAACGAAAUAUUAAACUUAAAUUCCACUUUUCCUCCUAAUAAAUAAUACUUUAUGAUACAUUUAUAAAUAUUAAAAAACAAUGUAUGGACAUUUGAACCAUGUUACUCCUUACUAAAUACUAAUCAUUUUUGUAAUUUAUGUAAGAAGACAUUUAAUGGAAAUAAAAGAAUCACCAAAAUUUGUUACCAUUGUUUUAUUAGGGUAACAUUGUAAUAGUGUCUCACCUUUAAAGCAGUUCUUUAUUAAUAAAAACAAAUAAUUAUUCUUUAUUUAUAACAGAAUAGUUAUAUAUUUAUUGAAAGAAUGAGAUUAUUUUAGCAAAAGUAAUUAAUAAGAUAACAUAAUUAUUAUAUUUUUAGUAGCUGUAGCGGUUAUCCCUAGGGAAUUAAUAUAUAAAAAAAAAUAUAAAAAAUAUGAUAAAGAAGAAUAGGAUCUGCAAUAAAGAAGUCAACCCCUGCAGGUUAGAUUUUUGAGACAGGACAUUAACUCUGAGCACAGAAACAGUACAAUUCCUAAUUGACUAAAAAACAUCAUGGCUUUAAUCUUAAAGAUAUUGUUUUCAAACAACAACACCUUUGAAGGCAAGGAUUCUUCUGGGUGGGGCUCAGGUUUAAUUUCAGUUCAAGUUAAAUUUGUUAGAUUUGAGAUGAAGUUAAAAUUGUUAAAAUUAGGGUUAGGGUUAGGGUUAGGUGGAUGAAAAUGGACAGGGAUGACAAAGAUCUGAGAAAGUCAGAAAGCAGCAUGCUGUGUAUAGUAAAAGCUGAAUGGUCAAAUUAGAAUUCUAGCAGACUUGUUUGCUUCCUCUUAACACCAAAUUUGUCCUUUUUCAGAUCUAAUAUAUCAAACUGUGAAACACAUAUAGGAUACUUACGGUUAUAUUAUAUUUGUAAUAAAAUAUAUUGAUGGAUAUGUAUUGGUAAAAUAUUAAAUUUAAAAAAUAUUUAUUAAAUUUUUGAUAAUUUUAUCACGAUUUAAAUAUAAUUUUAAAAAAAUACAUUAAUUUCUUUAAAAAUUUAAUAUUUAUUGUAUUUUUUUAGGUUUAAUUACCUUAUUCGUUCCUACAUUUAGGGUCAAUAGUCAAUUUAGUAUAGUGGUUUUUAAAAAAAUCAAUUUGGUCCCUAUGUUUUUUAAAAUAUAUACAAAUUGGUCCUUUCCGUUAAGUUGUUCUUUACGGCGUUAAAUGUUGGAGGUUUGGUCAGAGGCUUGGUCGGAGGAGCAGGAGGAGAUGCCGCCGGAGACGCAGGGGUCAAGGCAUUAGGGGAUGACCCACUUGACACGUCAUCUCUCGAUUCCACGUCUAUCUGCCACGUAAGCAGCAUUUAAUGCCGUAAACAGCAACUUAACGAAAAGGACCAAUUUGUAUACAUUUUAAAAAACAUAAGGACCAAAAUGAUUUUUUUUAAAACCACUAUACUAAAUUGACUAUUGACACUAAAUAUAUAAACGAAUAAGGUAAUUAAACCAUUUUUUUAUUAUGAUUAUAAAAAUAAGAAACAAAUUCUUUUAAAUCAACUAUAAAAAAACAUCUUUCUGGUACAAAACAAAUAAAAUAAUAUUUGUGCACAUAAAUUUUUAUUCUCAAUUUAUAUAAUUUAUAAUUAUAUAAUAUAUAAAUUUAUGUUUUUUAUAUUUUAAAGAUUAUACCUAUCUCUUUGUAUUCCUAUGAAUGUUUGUGCUAGAUUGCUUUUAAUUUAAACUCUCCAUCCAAAAUAAAAAACAAUUGAAACCAUUUCAAACUAAAUAGUCCUUUCUCUCCCCUUCACCACUUAAUUGUCUCAGAAAAUAUUCAACUAAAACUUUAAUCUACUUAUUUUAUUCAAAUUGUAAUUUUGGUCCGUCUAAUUAAAAUAUAAAACACACAGUUAGUUUUCAUAUUUUAAAAACAUGUAAUUUUUAACUAAUUCUAUAUUUUAUGUUCACCUUACAACUAAUACAUCUAUUUAGAGUACCAUCAAAUAGUUUAAUUAAUUGAAACUUGAGAAAGGAAUAUAGGCAAAUUUAAAAAUUGAAUUACAGUUUUAUAUUUUAUAAAAUAUAAUUAAAAUAACAUAAAUUUUGUAUACAAUAUUUAAUUAAGAGAUACAUGAUUAAUAUAAUAAAAAAAUUAAGACAAUUAUUAUUUUUUAUACAUUAUUUAAUUAUAAAAUGUUUUUAUUUGAUAUAAAUAAGAUAGUUAUAUAUUAUUUUAUUCUUUUCACUUUUUAACUUGUUAUUUUUUAUAUAAAUAAUUAUAAUUUGCUUAGAUACUUGUAAUUUAUUUUUAUAUUGAAUAUUAUAAUUUUAAGUGAUUGUAAAUGUAACAUCCUGCUUACACUUUCAUCCUCUAUCAUCACUUAUAAUAUACUAAUUAAUAUUUUCUAUUUUUAACACUAAACUAAGUAUAUUUAAAUAUAAAAUUAAAAAACAUCAAGAAUUUAAAACUAUGAAAUGUUUUAGUAUGGAUUAAAAAGCAAAAGGGAACAAAGUUGCAGAAACUAUUCUUAACCUUUACUUUGAAUAUCAUAUUUAAGAUGAUUUUCAGUGAACUAAAAUUAAAAAAUGUUUCAUGUAAUGUUGAAAUUUAUUUAUUUAUUACUUACAUGGAAAAAUGCAAGUACACAGUUUCUACAUUUAUAAUAAAAGGUGUUCCUCAAACACUUUGAUAAGAGAAUCGAUAAUGUAUUAUUACUUGGCAAAAAAAUACUCACAUCUCAGCACACAAUGAUGAAUAUUUGAAAUUAUGUUGAUGAAUUUGAAGAAGAAAAAAUUGAAAAAUGGAUAAUGAAAAAGACCUUCUCCAAUGGAAAAGAGAAAAAAGAAAAAAAGAAAAAGUAAGUGGACUUGCUUAUUAUUACAAGCAUGAAUAGGUCAACUUCCCUUAAUUGCAUUGCAUGUAUUGCUUUGUGCAGUGUUUGGUGGAAUGAAUGAACACCAUAAACCCAACUCAAAUCCCAUUCAAAAGGAAAUGCUCUUUUUAAGAAAAAGUUCUUUUUACUUAUAAUGGAUUAAUGAUAAGUUAUGAUAGUUCACCACUUACAAUUUUUUAUACAAUCACAUUAUAUUUUUCAAUAUUAUUAUUUUACUAUUUUUUAUAUUAUUUAAUUAUAAAUUUACUUUUUAUUAUAUAUAUUUAUUUUAAAUCCAUUACAUGAAGAAUUAUAUAUAAUUCUAAAAGUUAUCAAAGUAUAUUUUUUUUAUUAUGAUUUAUCGUGCAAUGAGAAAAACGAACAUGGCACCACUUCACACGCGUGGAAAACAAACAGUCACCUAGGUGUACGAGGUGGGGUUUCGCCACGUGUACACCCCGUGCUGAUGUCUCCUCUUUUCCCUGUUUUUGUUGCUCUGUUACACAUGAACAGAGUAAUUUCCCCUGUUUCAGUUACACAUGAACAGAGCAACUUCCCCUGUGCUGCUAUCAGUUAGCUUAAACCAACAUGCCACCAUGUAUGCUCAAACCAUACUACACUGACUUCUAAACUGCACUCACAAUGCUGUCACUAUGGCUAAAAUUGUAAUCACAAUAUACUUGUAAAGAGUCAUUAUUACUGUUGUUGAAAAUGUACUUACGAACUUUUUUUCAUUAUAAAGUAUACAAUAUUUUAAUUAUGUUUGACAUUAAUUUAGGAUUUUUUUUAUAAUUUUAUCAAAAUUUAUUUGUAUCCUUAAUUCAAAUUUUGUAGUAAUUAAGAUAAUUAUUGAAAUAAAUUAUUGUAUUUUUUUUACAUAUUUAACGGUUUUUCAGAUAAACAUAUUUUCAAAGUAGAUAAAGAGGUUAUAGUAUUAUAGUAUAGUUUAAAAGAAAGUUUCAUAGUAGCUAAUAGGUUCAGCCCAAUCAAGAAAUACAUAGUCUUUGAGUUUUUACUAGAUCUUUUUAGAAAGAGAACGAGGUAUACCUAUGAGGUGUAUUUUUUUAUUAUUCUUUUUUGUCCAUUUUUUUACACAUACUGUGUAUAUAUUCUGAGCAUUGUCUGCAUAAUAAAAUAACAAACUUUUUCAUAAUCUUUUCUUAUGUAUUUUUCUGUUUUUUCACAUUCUUUUUCCAUACAGUUCAUCCUAAAAAUUCAUUUAUUACGUGAAGAAACAUUUGUAAGAAUUCAUUACAAUAAUUUUUAUACUACAAGUACUAUAAAUCUAAAGUUUAAAUUAGGAAGAAAGCCAAUUUUAUUUUAUAGUACAUAUUUGAAAAAUAUAUUUAAUUUUUUAUUUUAAUUAAUAAUCUUACAUUUAUAUUUUUUAGAAUGUGGAUGUACUAUUAACAAUUUUCUGUAAUUUGUUUAUGGUGGUUAAAUAUUUCGUAAUAAAAAAUUGUAUAGACACUAUUUAUAUGUAUUAAUGAAAAAUGGUUGAAUUUGUGUUAAUUACACAUUACAAACAAACAAUACUAGUAUGUAGCUUAAUAGAUGAGAAGGAAACAGUUAUGAGACAAAAAAUUGUGUUAAUUGCAUUUCUCAAAAGUGAAUAAAAUGAGAGUUUGAAUAUGCAAGAAUUGAUGAAGGAUAACGGAACUAGUUUAGUAUGAUCAUAUCCUACAUAGGAAUAUUUUUUGCUCUCAAUCAUAUAGUUUUUUUUUAAAAAAAAAUCUCAGUGAAGUGUUAAAUAUUGAAUUUGGUUUAAUAAUAUAUUUAUACACCACUUGAACAUUAAGUUUUUGAAAAAAAAAAUAUACACCUUCUAAUACAUGAAUGGAAUAAAGAAUUUUUUAAUCGUGUCGAGAUCCGUCACUAAUAUCUAUAGUCUCAUUUACUCCUUAUCAAGUAUAAUUAUAACUGUUUCGGUAUUGUUAAUAUAUAUUCACAUCACUCAGAAGUUGAUAUUAAGGGUAAGUUAUAUACUCUUUUCUCCUCAAACCCACAAAGACACAUUUUAAGGACAAAAUCGUGACAGAACACCGACCUCCAAAGCAGAUAAUACCUCAAAUGUGAUGAUUAAUCCUAGUGAUGUUAUCUCUGAGACUUAAAAUCGAAACAAUGACACCAUUUGUAAAAACGAAAAUGUUCCUUAGCUCUUCACUUAGGAGAAAUUCUUCCCUCCCUUAAACCUUGACUGUUGACUUAUUUUGGUACAAUCAAUAUAUUAAAAAAUCUCCUAAAAUUCAAUCAAUGUGGUCUUGUAUUAGUAAAGUUAAUUUUCAGAAAAUUCAACUAACCUACCUUACAAAUUUGAUAACUAGCCUCCAAGUUAGGUGAAGCUUAAAUCAUCUAACCUAGUCAAAAUUAGAUCAAGGGCAAUAAUACUUGAAAAUAACAUGGGAAUUGAAAGAAUAAAAAAAUUAUUUCAAACCUAAAUUAACUUUAAAAAUAUGAGUUUUGUAGACUGAAUUCAAAGGCAUUUCUCCAUAAAAAAAAAUAAAAAAAGGAUGCAAAGAAGAUUUGAUUUGACAAGACUGAAUCGAAGUAAUGGAAUGAAAAUUGGAUACGAAAAUAAUAUGAAUGGGUGGAGUUUAAGUUCGAUUCUGAGAUUCCCAUCACAAAUUUAAAUUAUGGAUGGUAAAUAAAUAAUUACGUAGAGAUAAGGAGAUAAUAGAAGAAAGGACAAAAAAAUUAAAGAUGUGAGGAUUAAAAACAAGAUAGAUUUAGAAAAUGCAUUACAUCCAUAAUUUUCUCUUUUAAGGUUAAGCACUUAUAACCUCUUAAUUUUAAAAAAACAAUACUAAUUAUAUUUUUAUUGAUUGUUGUCUUAUUAUAAUUAUUUCAUUUUUCAAAAAAAAAAUGUAAUUUUAGUAAUGAAUAUACAAUUUUUAGUUUUAACAUUUAUAUAUAUACAAACUUUAUUUUGGCAUUCUCCAAAAUUGGUACCUAGACGGUUGCCAACCUUGACUGGGUUCAGAAUCGUAACUGAAGUGAAAACUUUUAAAUCGUGCAUCCUCAUGUUAAUCCUUUUAUUUUUAAAUAAAGAAAAUAUUUAAUGCUUUAAAAAUAAUAAACAUAUUCUUUUUUCAUUGGAAAAAUUCCUUACAAAUAUUAAGAUUUAUGAUAAACUUAUAUAACAUUUAUCUUAGUUAAACUUUUAUUUCAAGAUGUGACCCUGCGUCAAAUAUAGAGCAUUCAUUUGUAAGCUCAUACACGAUUAACCGAAUCAAUUUUUGUCUGAAAAUCACUAAAAAGAGACUAUUAUUUUCUGUAUAAAUAAAUCUAUGAAAACAGAACUAAAAAAAAAAAUUAAAAAAAUGACAAAUUUAUAAUUAAUAAUGAAAAUAAAAAAUAAAAGCAAGUACAUGCCCCCAUAAAUCUCUGCUUUGGUAAACUCUGCUGUUUAUGCUAUAACCACAAACAAAACCGAGUAAGUUGCAAAGUGUGCAGAAAUAAAAGAGGAUAUCAUAAUUAGCACUUAGUAUUUAAUUACAUAGUUCCUCUCUCCCCAAUCCACUUUUGUACAAAUUGAAGUUUAGUACUUUAGCAAGUUACAUCAUUAUGUCAUAACCCCCAACCAUCUAUAAACAGAAUUAUCCUGUCACACUAAAAUAACCAUAAAUAAAAUCAAAACCAUAUUUCAUUAGACUACAAUAUCUGAACUGUGAAACCAAAGUGCAUGCUAGCUAUCAUAUUCUAUUUAUAUGCAGCGUUGGAUCCAAGUAAUUUGAACUAGAAAUAUAUACAUGAAGACGAUGUUAGGAGUCCCCAAUGCCAAAUAAAGCCAAAGUGGCCCCAUGUAUUUACAGAGGGGAAGCUUGGAUCAGUUAAAUGCUAUAGGAAUGAAAUUGUCAUCGUCUAAAAGCAUAUCAAUAUCAAUCCAAUCCUCCACACCAUCAACCAUCCCUUCUUCAGAACUGGUCAAAUCCUCGUUAGUUCCCUGCAUAACAUUAAAUGACAAUGAGCAUAUCAUUAAGCCAAAUAUUAAUGACCCUAGACCCAACCACAAGUUAACAAAAUACCUUGGGUUGACGGAAGUCCUCGACAACAUUUAGCAGACGCCGGUAUUGGGCGCGUGCCUCUGGAUACUGAGCCAUGGACUUCACCCUUGAUAAUGCCUUUUUGAUAUUUUCUUCCUUUUGUUUCCGUCCCUCCUUGAGAAAAUCAUAAUCAUCUUCAUCUUCAUCUUCUCUCGGAGAAUCAUUGUGUUGACUGGGGACUUUAUUAAGCGUGUCUGGUCGAAAUCCACGUAAACCACUACCCUUGCGCCUCCAACGUAAUAUGAUCUUCUCUAGGAUUCCCACAGACCAGAUGAUUGGUUUAUACUGUUUCCGUACCUGGUGACCUCUUACAUGGGCCUUGACACCACAGAAUUCAACAGUCAGUGGAAGUAGCAUGUGUCAUGUGGAAAAAAGAUAUGUAUUUUUUAUGGCAAAAGAAUAACGAAGAAUAAGUAGUCAUAUUUCUUCUAGGGAAAGGGGGAGGAGGGGCAAAGCUGUUUGGAGAACAUCAAGUUCACACCUAAGGCUCAGGCCAGAGAUAAUUGAACUAAAAGCUUUGGGCAGACUCUGAAAAUACCUUUUUUUCUGUAGCUUCCUAAACUAAAAAGGAAUGCGAAUAUCAAUUGUGUGAUCAAAUUUUUCUCCUUUACAACGGGGGGGUAAGGAAAGACAUGUAAACAAUAGUGCUAUAUAUAAUUGUCUUUAAGGCUUCAAGCUCAUGAUUUUAUGUCUGUUAAAACAUCAACCCUCCAAGUAAAUGCAUGUUCACAUUUUGGAUUGUUUUCUCCACUUACAAUCUGAAUGUGCGAUCUAAAUGUAUACAACGGUUAUAGAAGGAGCAAAGAGAUGCAACAGUUUUUCCAUUCUUUACCUAAGAUUGUAUCAAUCAAGAUCUCUCCAAUGAAAUCAAUUUUCCACCUUUGGUUUCCAAAAUAGAGAAAUAAUUGAUAAGAUGAUUUUAUGAGAAAUUAAGAACAUCCAACAAUACUCUGUUUUACACGAACAAUAUUAAAAAUGAAAAAUCAGUAAAAAGAGCAGAUCAUUGAACCUGGAUUUUAACAAUUCUUUGGCGAAUCAUCAAGAAUUCUUUUCUCUUCUUCCAACCACGAAACUUUUUCUGUAUGUGUAUUGCGGCAGCAUUGGCUAAACCAUUUCGUUGUCCAGAUUUGCAAGCCCUAGAAGCUAGAAGAGAUAGGGCUUGCUGAUCUAACAAUCCAAGCUCAUCAUCCCCUUCAUACUGAGUUAACUGCUUCCUCUGAAAUGACUGCAUUCUGAAUACUUGAUGUAUACGAUCAGCGGCUUGUGUUGCAUUACGCACAGCAAUAAGCGAAUCCUUGAGACAGAGGGUAUCUGGCAUAUCACCACAGAGCACAGGUGUUGCAGUUCGUUCUGAAACUGUCUGCACCCCUUUCAUUCCUGAAAUUUCUUGUCGACCACCUUUUUGAUCAUCCAUUGUGAUGGUUUCAAGUCUGUGAGUUAAUGAACACUCAGCAAGAAAACCAGAGAUUCCUUUGUGCCCGUUUUCAGAGGCAAGAUCUGCAGCUUCUCUACCAGACAGAAAUGCAGGAGAUGGAUCUGUCCGUGCUCCACAAUCUGCUCCCAUGGACACCAGGAAAGCAACUGUCCGCUCUCUGACAAAAAGACAGAAUAAUGAGAAAAAAAAUUGUGUCAUGCAAAACAUAACAUAUUUGAGAAACAAUAAUGAAAUAGAAACCUUCUGCUAUUUUCCUUUAACUGAUCAAAGCAAUGGUUCUAGGCGUAACUUAUUUUAGGUAAUAAACAGACGUAAAUUUGCUUCAUAUACUGGAAAACGAAUUUUGUGAACAAUUUCACCCUUGAUAAAAGUCUAAAAUAUGAAGAAUAUCAGAUCAGUUAAAGAAGGUUCGACCAGAUUACAAGACGUAACUUAUGCUCAAUCAACUGGACUCAAUGAAGAGGGAUAAAAAUCUGAAGGAACUUUACCUGCCACAGAAUGCAGCCCAGUGAAGAGCAGCCCAUCCAUUCACAUCUCGGAAGUUGAUAUUAACUCCAGAAGAUAUAAUUGGAUUUAUGGCCCAAUCAUAACCAAGAACAGCUGCUAAGUGUAUCACACCUUGGCCAUCCUUGUCUAAUACAUUGGGCCCUUUACCACUCUCAGUUACUUUGUGAAGAAGCCAUGAGUACAGCUUCUCUUUAAUCUGCCUGUGAAAAAGAUGCUCCCUCACCCCGUGUUUGGAUAUAUCCAAUUCUGUAGUUGGUUCAUCCUUAAUGGAAUAUUCCUCUUCCUCUCUCAGUGAAAUAAGCUUGAAAAUUAAAUUCCUUUUCUCCAUAUCACCCUCAAAAGAAUGGUUUGAAGGGUUCACUGGCUUUAAAGUAAGAAAAUUCUCCAGUCGGCUAUGAAGCUGCAUUUCAGUUGAACUGCCAAAAAAUUCUGCAAAAUCUACAUUUCUAGCAAAGUCUUUUCUGAAAUCAAAUUCCCGCACUUCACUACAAGCUAACCUAUUGGAACAUGUUACAUAGAAUGGGACCCGUCCAACUUUAUGACGAGGAGCUUGACAACACAAAAUUCCAUCAGCUAAAACCUCAGCUGGAACCUCAACUUCCCCAAACAUACAGGACCAGUUACAUGUUGUCACCUCCGAUUGACUCUUAAAAAAUGAUCCAAUAAUCAACACCUGUAUAGUUUUAAACAGGAUAAGAUGCCAAUCAAACUAUACAAUCAAGUAACAGUGACUCAAUAUUAAAAAUAAAGGAGUAAAACCAAUUAUCAUAUAUAACAUACCAAAGAGGAGGGGAAAAAGAGGGAAGAUUGUCAGAUGUGUCAAGAGAUACCAAGAUAUAGAAGAAAUGCAAAAUCGAGAACAUUGCAAAUUAAGAGCAACAACAGAUGAAAUUAAGAGCUAUAUAUACACAGUUUUAUAAUUAUUUUACUUUAUAAAAAUAUCUAAUACAGAACAUAGAUAACGUUUAUAACUUUUUACAAAAUAAAAUAAAAUACUCGUGUAAUCCUGUGGCCUACAUUUCAUGCGCAUACAAAAUUAUUACCAAAACAUAAAUUGUAUUUGAAUUCUUACACAAAAUGUGAGAAAAAUAAGUAGGAAAAUUAUAAUAAUGAGCCAAAAAGCCAGCAAAAAAGUUCAAAUGAGUAACAAAAAGACAUAUAAACAGGCAAACAGAUUAUUUAAAUAAAUGUGUUAACAUUAUAAAAAUGAGGAGCUAAUCUUAUAUAAUCAUAAAUAUCUAGAUUAUGUAUGUAUUAUUACGAACAUUUUUAUUUAUUCCUAUAUCAUAUCUUUGUUAUUAGAAGAAAUCUCCUUUAUUUAUUAUAUUAAUUUCAUUUUCUCAAUAAAGCACCAGGGCUGUCUCACAGAAGCACGAUUUCAUCUCAGUGUUUCUUUCUUCCCUAUAAUUUAACAUGGUAGCUAGAGCCUUUUUCAAAACCAUGUUGGCUCAAGACCUACUAUCUCUAGAGGAUUUUUUUUUAAAUCUUUCUCCUAGGUAUCUCUAGAAAAGUAUAUUAAUACAAUAAUGUAUAAUAUAUGAUAAUGAUCAUAUAAUAGUAAUAGUAAUAUAUAAUAUAUUAUGUGAUUACAUUAGAAGGAAAAGUAGGGUUGAAAAAGAAUUGGAGGGAGAACCCUCAAUUAUAUAGAUUUUCAAAAAGAUCAGUACCUCAAUAUUUAACUCAGCAUAAGCCCAUUUAGGUGAAAAAUCAUUUAUACUAAACAGUUGGUCCUGAGAGAGAGAUGGACUCAAUGAGCUAUCAUCUAUCACAUGCUGGCAUUCAUCUGUACUCCAAGAAAUACCAGGUGUGGACUGCAUAUUCAAAUCAGCCACCUCUCCAAGUUCUUUAGUUACCCACCGAGAGAAACUAUCAACCUUCUUCAGGCUCUCAUCUUUGUCCAAUAGUGUGCGUUUCACAUUUGAGCUAUAGUUGACAGAUUCUUCAUCAGAAACUUUAAUUGCAGAAUUGGAUUUUAGAGAAUGUUGAGAUUGUCCAUCUGCAUGCUCUUGUGGAUAGUUUUUCUGCAUGAGCUGCUCUUUUGGAUCGCCAUUAAAACUGUACAGGAUCGGAGCAAUUUCAGAACUUGUAUUACGAGUUUCAUACCCUAGUGAACUGGUGCCAUAAUCAGAUCCAAAUUGCAGACCAAAUGAUUGGGGGGUUAGGGUUGACAUUGGCAUAUUUCCCGAACUGUCUUCAAAAGGAAUCUGCAUCAAAUCAAAUAACAAAAUGAAUAGUUAUAUUUUUUGGCUAAAUCUGCUAAGUAAUUAGUAGUUUGAAAUUACACACAAGAGUAACCGAGGCUAAAAAUAUCAGUUUCAAAAUUAAGCAAUCAAAAGAUAAAACAGACACCAAUCCAACCCAGUCAUGGCUACCCAAUAACUUAAUUGGGAAGAGUUCAAGCUAAUAAAAUACAUAUCUUACCAAAAGGUUGAAUAUGGAUACAUCCGAAGAAACUGUAAUCUGGAGUCAUAGCAUUUUUAAAGUCCAUAAACAAUUCAAAACCUUUUAAUAUGCCACAUGCAGCCAAAUACCAGAUAGUCCCAUAAAACUGUCACAUUAUGUCUAUUCCAUCUAAAACAAAAGGUGUUUGGUUCAAGAAAAUGUUCUCUUUUUCAUUUUCUAAAAAUUCCUUUCAUUUCCAAGUUUUCAUCAAUUUGAAAAUGUUUGUUUAGAUUUGCUAAUCAUUUUCUGUUUUUCUUCAACAACUUUUUCCACUCUGUAAUUUGAAAUGUUUAUUUAUUGAAUGACCUCAUCCUUUUAACUUGCAGCUUGUGUUCUGAGACUGAAACAUUCAUAUUGAAGUUGUACAUUCAUCCUAACUUACAUGCACCCAAAACAAAAUUCCAUCUAACUAAUUUGAUUAUAAGGCAGUGUUAUAGGUCACAAUCAGUUCAGAAGAUGGUUUGGGAGAGAAUGCACAACUUUAAUGGAAAGAUCUAGUUAUUGUCUCAUUGAAAUCCAUGGUCUCAACUUUCCAAGAGAUAGAAAGUAAUGGAUAUAAAGACAUGAAAAUCUAAAAAAUGGCAUUACAUCAGUUUGAAGAUACUGUUUUUUUUUUCUGAAAUGAUAUCAAACCAAAAUGAAAACAGAAAAUGAUGAAAAUAAACAGGCCCUAAUAGUUGCAGAUGAAGAUAUACUAUGCAGAUAACAGUAUGUACCUGCCAACUCGAUUGGAAAGAGUGAGAGCUCUCUGCUUCCACGGUGAGAACUCUUUUGCCUGAUAAAAGGUCACCAAAAAUGGUAUGUUCUUGUUCAAGGACACUACCCAUUGAACUAGAGGGCAUUGAAGAAAAUGAUGCAAGAGAAGGAUCAUUAUGCAAAUUGGCAGUGCUUUCCAAGACAGUGUCCCAUGGUGCCACGCCAUGUGUUUUCUCACCAUCAAAAUACGUAGUGUCAUUUCCUCUAAAUUUAUCCUCAUGAACAACUGGGAUAUAAUCUGUUCCAGAAAUUGAUGACUGUCCAUGAUCACCUAAAAUUAUUUGAAGAUAUAUGGGGGAAAACAUGUGUCAGAGAACGCCUAAUAAAAAAUAUAAAAUACCUGAGACAACCAAAAUGAAGGGAGAAACCUGAAAAGGAAUGCAUAUGAUAUGAACUGUUCACACCACCAUCAAUCUUUUCUGUCAAUGGACCAUUCCCCAUAUGUCGUGACUCAUGUAAUGGGCGCAACCCAGAACUAAUUUGGUGGAUAUCCUCUGGAAAGAAUCAUGAUUAAAAAAUUUAAGGGUGAUCAAAUAAAUGGUCCAAAGUAUUACACAAAUAUUUGUUGUAUCAGUAAACCAAGAUAAUUAAAGUACAGGAGAAGAAAAUAAAAAAGAAAAAAGAAAAUUUUCUCUAUAAGCUAAAAUUAAUAUCUACAAGUCAAUUUAAAUAUAAACUAAUUUUAACUUGAGGAAAAACUCAUUUCCUUUAUCCUUCCUGUUUUUCUUCUCUUCAAAUAUUUUUAUGGAUAAGUUUAUUCCAAAACAUUCUUAACAUGUUAAUUCACUUCACAGACCACAUAAAAAAUUUUAACCCUCGUGAAAUAAACUGAAGCAGAAUUACCAGAAUCAGCAUCUUCACGUAAAGACAUCAAACUGCUUGAUGGGCUGACAGAAUCCGUGCUAAGUGAAGUAACCUUUUGGGAAUCCUCACCUUCGGUAUUCACUACAAUAUUUUUGUUACCCUGAGAAAUAAACCAGAAUAAAUUCAUGAAUAAGUCAUACCUGCACUCAAGCUAAUUAAGAUCAGGACUACAAAACACAGCUUCAAAUUCUUCCUGCCCGAUUUCAAGAAGAAUAUGACAAAAAUAGAUUUUGAGAUCUCCUCAGAAAGGAUGGUACCAAUAGUGUUUUUAUCACCAUACCAAAAGCUUAAGAUGUUGGCAGAGGUGCAACUCGACUCAUAAUACUAGGUCAAACACAAGCACUUUCCCAUUCAAGCAAUUGGACGAGACCACUGGCUCGAAUCCAACCCACAAACCCAACAUAUACAUAUAUAUGUCAUGACCCCUUGGGCAUAUCAUCCCCUCCCUCUUGGGAAAUUAAAUAACAUAAAUAGCCACAAUGUCUCUUGUCAGAUGGAUUCAGCCAUGGGUAUGACCAAACGUUAUUCCCUCAUCCUCACCCCUGAACAAGAAAACCAACCCUACAAAAAAAAUGUAACUUUACCCUAUUUGGAUAAUUUUUUCAAUAAGCACUUGUAAAAAAAUAAGAAGGAAAAAGGGAAUAAAUUUCUCUCAUUCGAUAAAAUUAGAUUAUACAAAAUCUGUCGAAACUCUCUAAUUUUAACUUUAAAAAAAGUUUAUUUUAACUUAUAGGAGAAACUUGUUGCAUUUUUUCUUCUUAUUUUCUUCUCAUAUAAGCGCUUACAAAAAGGUUUAUCGAAACACAAAUAAAAACAAUGUCUUAAUUUUAAAACUUGAUCAUAAUCUGGAUGUAUUUAAUUUGAUCAUUGAAAUAGUGUGACUAUCACAGCUUCAAAAUCAAACUCUUUUAACGGCAUGUUACCAUGCCAGUAGGUCUUACUGAUAGUAUUAAAAAUUAACAUUGAGAAUUGAUCAAAUUGAACUCUUUCAGUGGCUGUUUCAUCCUGCAUAUACUUUCAUUAACUCCUUUAGUAACACUAGUUAGAGCUAUGGUUAUUAUAUAAUAAAAAAACAAAAUGAGUAGCAAUAAUAUCAUUAAUCAUUCAUGAUGGUUCAACAUAGACUACAAGAACUGCAGCUGCUACAUUCUUUCCCUUUCAAAUGCUUCAUCAUAUUUUGUAAAACAUCAAAACUCAAGUUAUGGAGGACAAAGGUUUUAACAAAAGUAAAUAAUAGAUAGAAUCCAAAAGGUAGAAAUGAAAGAGUUAUAAAUGAUAAAAAUACACAAUCAUUGGAAGGUAAUAACAAGAAAAAGUAAUGACAGCAAAAAAUAUAAAGAAAUGAACAAUAUACCUUAACUUCCAAGUAAUGGACAAAUACUAUGUGCAUCAUAUCCCUGCAAUAAAAGAAAAUUAACAAGAAAACCACGUUCUGAUUAAUUACAAGACAUGAAUAUCUCGGUAUACGUACAUUGAAAGUUCAUAUUAGUAAAGAUGCAGCAAAAUAUUUAAAAUCCAAUAAGAUUUAAAAAUGCCAUCUACAAUUUGUAGAUAAAGAAGAAAUUACAUUAGGGAGAAAUGGGUGAAUUAGAUGAUCACAACUAGGGGUAGGAUAAGAAAUCCUUCAAAAACAUACACAAGGAGAACAGGGAAGAAAAAUGCAGUAAAGCUUCUCAAUCAACUUGUCUAAGCCAGAAACUCCUUUGAAGUAUACAAACACCAAAAAAAGCGAAAAAUGUACCUCCAGUGCUCUAUUCACUAAGUUUGGGGCAAUAAAACACCCUUAAACAAUUUUAUCUAUAAAAUGACAUGAGAACCAGUACUUGCAAAGAAGCUUACAAAGUAACAAACACAUGAAAUAUGAAUACAAUCUAAUUUCCAAGACAUAUUACACAAAAUAUUGUAAGUAAAUUAAUUCAUACUCACGGUUCAAGCAUCCAGUAGCUUCGCCUUUGAAAAUUUUCAUUAUCUUCUCCAUGGGCAUAGUAGCAAUGCAACACAUCAACACUUCCAACCUAAAUUUGCUUAAAUGAUGUUACAACCCACUGAAUAAUUAUAUAAUGGUAUAGACACUUGCUUAGCAAUUAGAGAAGACUAAUUGAAAAAGUUCCGAUCAUCUUACAUAUAAGCUAAUUACACAGAUUCGCUUAACUAUAAACUCAACACUUAAGCAAAUUAUAAAAUCACCUUCAACUUUUCAUGAGCUUCUUUCACAGUUUUUCCGUCCUUUUUCUUUCUCCAAUUAUGUCCAUCCUUUCUGAAGUAUCUCAAAACCUUUCUAUCAAAUAGAAAAAGUGAGCCACCUGAAAUCAUGAAAUAAAAGUCUAAAUGAUGUCUUUGUAAGCAUGAAGUAAUGAUAGGAUUGUCAUUAGUAGCUAAAAGAUAGAGUGAAAAUAACAACAAAGCAAGUUAUAGGAAAACAAAAAAAAAAUACUAAUAAUAAUAUCCUAAAUCCUGCUUAAUUGCGAAGAUUAUGCAAUAAGUACAUAAGGUGCUUUUUUGCUACCAAGCUUCACCAAACUUUUUUGACUGAAUAAUGUGCCGGUAUUCCUUGAACUAAAAUAUAAAGGAUCUAUUGGAACAUGAACACCUUAAGUUCAGAUGAUGAAAAAUUAAAAAAAACUUCAUACAGCUUCAAAAAGAAUUAAAUCCAGUUAAAUGAACUCAAGGAGGACAAUACUUCCAUUUUGAAACACAUUGUUCAGCACCUAGAAAGAAAUGAUUAAUUCAGAACAAAAUGUUCAUAAACACCAUGUUCCACCAAACAAGUCAAUGGAACAUCAGUUAGUAGAAGCUUCUUGGGCAAUUCAUCCGAUCCAUAUAUCUAAAGUAGAUACACUUGGUGCCAAUUAAUUUAUCAGUAACAUGCAGUAACCAUACUUGGUGGCCUGUUAUGAGGUUCUGAAGUGAUUUGAAACAUCCGAUAAUUACGAAGAAUUUCACAAAUUUCUGCAGGUCGCAACCACCGAUGCUGGGCUUCAAAUUGUAAUUGCUGAAUAUCUGCAAAUUGAUAUCAAGGCAUUUGGUCAGAUAUUUUAUUACAAAUUACAUCCCACAGACAACAAAUACAAUUAUAUCACAUAUCAAAUCAUGGCCAUAAAAGCAACAUGCAUCAAUAAGAAUAUUUUUGUAAUAAUAGAAUAAAAAUAAAAUAUAAACUGACAUAUGAAACUAACAGCCACUGCCAUUCACGAGUGCAAUUUCGAGGUCAGAGUAUCCAGUACAUAAAUUUAGCAUCCUAUAAGCCACCCCCCAAAAAAAUCAAUUAGGCUACCAAAUAUAUUCCUUUCUUCAAAUCUGGUUUUUUUAAGUGAUUAUUUGAAAUAGCCUAUUGUGUUCAAAAUAUUUUAAAUAAAUAAAAAAUGCGAGAUUUUGACCAGAUAACUGUUUUUGAGUAAUGUUGUUACAAUCAAGAUUACAUGAGAUCGGGAGGGGGAUUAAAGAUCGUAAAUUGAAAGAGCCAACCAAAUGAAGCAAGAUUAUACAUAAACAUAUCCAUGUGAUAAGGAAAAUAUUGUGUAAGUAGUAACGUUGCUAAACUUGAACUGAAAAUUUAUAUCCAUACAUUUAUAUGGGUAAUUUUCCUUAUACCUAUAGAGGAGUGCUGCCAACAUACUCUUUAGAACGCACUCUUUCUUGUUUGUAAAAAUUUAUUGGAAAACACAAAAUCAUGACAGAAUCAUAAUGCUCUUUUUAGUUGCCUUUAGUUUGUUUGUUUUUUGGCAAGAAAAACCCCUGUAAUGCAUGUGCUUUUUCCGACAAAACCAUUUUGAAAUAGCUACAAAUUUGGCAAUACGACUAGGUUAGAUAAGUUGGGGGGGGGGGGGGGGGAUUGAAGAUGCAUAUUAGUUAGUUUCACCACUCAGAAUCCGAAAAAGAAAUCGAUGCAGUGAAGAAAUACCUAUCAAUCAUUCAUAUCAUACGACCCUAGUUUCAAAGACGCUGUAACACCUAAAAAAGCGUAAUUAGACUGAAAAAGUACCAAAAUGGUUAUUUCCCCAAAUCAAUUGGGCACAGUUUUAGCCAGCCUCAGUAAGGGCCAAACCUUACGUCCAUUCAUUAGCCAAACCAUUGACAGUACCUGACACUUAGACCCAACAUCAAGAAUCCACUCAAUGAAGGAAACAUUCAAUAGCUGAAGCUCCGUAACAAGAAAUCGCGUCGAAAAAACACUUGAAUGUUCAGGAUCGAAGCAUUGCACGGGAAAUUAAAAAGCAAAAUAAAAGAGGCGAUUAGAAAAUGACCUAAUGGACGACGCAAUCCAUAAGCAGCUCCCUCCGCCAUGGCGAAGACUGAAUCUGAGAUCAACGCGAACGACGAAGGACAGACAGAGACUUUUUUUCUUUUUUCUUGUUUUUUUCUUUCCCCCUCAACUCUUCAGUGACGUGAUAAAGUGAAAAACUGAUACUGUAUAUUUCCUAUUUAUAUUAUACUGAGUACGUACUCUCUCAAACAUUUAUAUCAUAAAUGUUUAUCUCAGAAAUUUUAAUUUUUUGCAUAAUAAUGAAUUUCAUUCUUUAUUUUAGAUUUUCUGAUAAAUUGAAAUAUUAAUUGUUCGGAAAUUAAUAUAGUGAGUCGAUGGGCAGAGUAUAUAUUUUUUCUUCGAACGUUGAUAUCAUAGUAUUUAUAUUUUUAUAUAUUUUAAUUUAUCAAAACGUAUUUUUAAGGACAAAAUUAUGAUAUCGGUGGUUGAUGAUAUUUCUGCAUAAAUAUUAUAUUGAAUUAUUGACGAAAAAAAUCAAAUGGGAAAGAAAAAAAAGUGUUUAAUAAAAAUAAGUUAUGCAAAAAAAAAGUAUAAAAAAAUUGCAAGGUCAAUUUUUCCAAAUGGGGUUUGACCUGGUGAGAGACUAGCAGAUGAAUAACGCGUUAUGAACAUGUCACGUUCACGUCAUCUUCUCUCUCCCUGAGCUACACUGAGAAAUAAUUUGAGUUUGCAAAAUCUCAUAGUAUUUUAUUCAAUUUAUAUUUUAAUGAUAAAUUUUAUUUUAAAUUUUUAAUAUUUUUUUGUUGGUUUAGACCUCACAAUUUACUUUUCAUUUAAUGUUUUUAAAAUAUUAAUAAAUUUUUUUAAUUCUUUAUAAAUUAAAAUAUCAAAUUGAAAAUAAUAAUAAUUAAUUUUUAAUGAGUAAACAUGAUGAUAAUGAUAAUACAAACAUCUUUGUCAUUAAUUAAAAUAUACAUUGAUCAUUGAGUAUUCUUCUCGAACAAAGUCGCGACUAAGAUAACUAUUACAUUUUUUUUCGGUUAGUCGCUUUUGACUUAUUUUCCUCUUUGAAUAACUUCACAACUCACAAUUCUCCCUUCGUUCUUUUACUCUUUGUUCUUGUAAACUUUAAGAUCGGAUGGUACCAGCAAAAGACACUUUGAUGCUCAAGUGAGAUCUCGAUAUUCGGUGUUUGGUGCAACUAAUGUGUGAUGAUGAUGUAUUUUUUUAUUGAAAUGUGUGACUAUUUAUAUGAAUAUUAUUGAUCUUUUGUUAUUGGGUCAGAUUAUGAUUUUGGAUCAUAAUUAAAAAUGUAUUAUUUAAUAUUUAAUUACUGUUUUGUCUUAUUAAUCUCCUAUAAGGCUUAAUAAAUUUUGUUGUGUCGGUUGCCUUUGACCGGAUGACGAAACUUCCACCUGUCGUCCAUCCCUGACCGGUAUAAAUAUCAAACUUAACUUUUCAAAUGAUAAAUUGAUUAAUCAACCUUUUUUUUUCUUUGGGUUGAGUUUGUUUUUUUCUUUAACUUUUUUUUUCUUCCAUUGAUAGUUUUGAGAUUUGAGAGUUUGAUGAUAUAUACAAAAGAAUAAUGAUUUUAUCAAAUAAUAGAGUUGCUCGAAGUGGAGUUGAGAUGAGAGAGUGAUUGAAAAUAAAUUUUAUUUCAUUUGAUAAAUGAGAUAUUGUGUGAGAGUAUGUUCUUUCUUUGUGUUGCCUUAAAAUAAAGAGUUAAGAAAAUUAGUAGAAAAUUAGUUUACAUAUAAAACUAUUUAUUAAUAUUAAUUUAAAAAAUUAAAAAAUAAUUUUAUUUUAAAAUAAUUUAUAUGAUAAAAUACUCUAUAAGAUAUAUUAAAUAAGAAUAGAAUAAAAAAAAAAUAUUUACACUUAAUAAAAUGAGAAAGCUACUAACAUUUCUUAUAACCUGUGUUAUUUUAUUUUAAUGAAUGUAAAAUUUAAAAAUUAUUGUUAAGAGUAUAAAUAAACUAACCAGACAUAAUUUUUAGAUAUUUUUUAAGAAUAUUUUUUUCAAUAAAAUAUUUUCGUAAAUUACAAGGGAUAAAAAGCACACUAUAGAAACAGCUGAGUAAUCUGGCCUCUGCAGUUGAGAUAUGGCUUCGUCUCUUUCAUUUCCAAUUCCGUUCGCAAUGGAUUCGCUGUCGUGUGUGACGGUGACGCAUAUGGCACUUUCCAAACCUCUGAAGCACCAUCGUCCUUUGGCCAGAGGCAAAGUCAGAGUUGGACCGCUUCAUCGCCGCCUCAACUCCGUUGCGCCGUUCCGGUGCUCUUCCGCCGCGGACGACGCUGUCAUCACUCUCCACGUUGGGGUUUGUUUUGACUUUGACCUCCUCGCUUCAUCUUUUUUUUUUAAAAGAUUUCUCUAACGGAAUCAAAUGUAGAAAUUGAAUUCCACUUCUCUUUCCAGGGAAUGAUGUGCGAAGGAUGCGCUAAUAGCGUCAAAAAGCUUUUAGAAAGCCGAGUAAGUGAUAGUAAUAGUAAUAUUUAUGUUGUUCCAAUUUCAAUUUUUCCAUUUGUUACAAUAACUACACAAUAUGUUAUAACUUCGAAAGUAACCUAAGUUUAUGUUCUUAUUAUGUGUUUUGUUUGUGUUCAAUGAUUAAUGGAGUGGACAGCCUCAAGUGUUAUCUGCUCGUGUAAAUUUGACAUCCGAGUUAGCAACUGUUUCGCCUGCACCUGAAGAAAAAACGGCACCAAAUUAUCUAAAGCAAUUAGGGGAGGAACUUGCUCAACAUUUAACUACCCGUGGUUUCACUUCUACCCUUCAAGGUAUGGUUUUUUAUGUUGUUGUUUCUAUUUGUUUUCAUUAUGGGGCUCAAUGUUCCAAAUGUCUCUGUAUUUGUUUUUAUGAAUUUAUAUAAUAUAGAAGAAAGGUAACAUCUAGUGUGGUGAUACUUAAGUUUAUAGAGAGGAAAGGUACAUCCUAACGUUUAAGUAGAAACAAGAGAGCGAAAAAAAAUUGAGGAAGAGAGAUAAUAGAUCCAUAGAUGGACAAAAAUGUGAUAGAAAAUGAGAUGAAGAAUGAGAUAUCCAUUGGGUAUACAAAUGUAAUAACCCUUAUAAACAUCAUAGGCAUGUUGUAGUGAUGAAUUUUUUUGAAACCUUACCUAACCUUGGAAUUAUACUAAAAUUCUCCCAUGCAACCACAUUCAAUUCAACAGAGUGGAGUUGAACCCACACCCUCCCUCCCCAGCAGAACAAAUGAAGAAUAUUGGGAAGGUGCGAGAGAGGUGCAUGCAUAUUUUCCUUUUCAUGUACAAUGCUUGCAUUCUUUUCUCCUUAAUUUAUCACUCAAUACUCCUCCUUUAUUGGUAUUUAUAAAAUGAAUAAUUGAGAAUUUGAUAAUCCUUCUAUGUUAGUGCCUUUUGCCAAUUGUUCCUUGCAUAUUUGUCUUAAAAUUGUAUGCUUUGUUAAGCUGAUUUUCCCACAUAUAGUUACCCAUGGAAUUGGAUUUGUAUGUAAAUUCAUAUUACUGAUGAACACAUACCUCUUUCUACUCCAUUGACCAAAAAUCCCUAUUUGCCCUCCAAACACUAUUUGGUACCAAAUAUUUGUAUAUUUUUUCUUCAUUACCUCCAAUAUCUUCUCCUUUGGUAAAUCCCUAAAUCAAAUUCUCUAAUACAUCCUUAAUAACUUAACCCUCUCCUAAAUCGCUAAAUCAAAUCCCUUAAUACAUCCCCAAUCGCUUCUCCCUAUCCUCAAUCGCUAAAUCAAAUCCCUAUUUAUGGGACCUUGACUUCUUAUUCCCUAACUAACCUCAAUCCAUUACCACUUCCCCCCUUCGACAGUAUGACUAUCCUAGAGCGUGAGCUUCCUGAUUGUCUUGGCAGAGAAGUAAACUCUAUUGUCAUCAAUAAAGACUUUGAACUUUGUCACUUCUCAAAACGUGGAACAUAUACAUGUUCACAUUAGCAAUAUCUGUAAAUGGACCAGAACAGUUGGGAAACAUAUGACAUGCACCUAACCUUGUCCAACUCAAGCUUCACACGGAUGAUGGGGAUGAUGGAGCAAGGCGUGUUGGCAACAAAUAGGGACUUGAUGCCAUUGAUCAUUAGAAUUUGGUUAUCAUGGUUGUGGAAGAGACGAGACACAUGAAGAUGUUCCCCUACUAGUGGCGGUCAAGGCACAACCACUAGGGUGAACGAAUUGUAAAGAGCAAAAGCAUAGUGGUUGAUAAGGAGAAGGAGAGGGGAGUGGGUUUGGAAGGUAGAUUGAUGGAGAAUUUAAGCCACUUCGAUGUUGCUCUUGCCUCUUUGCUCGUCCUUGCUUUUCACAACCUCAGUUAUAUGCUAACAACCCCAAACCUUUACUUUUGGGUCAGUUAUUUUUUGCAUUCACUCUUCAAAUUAUUUCAAAUUUGUAGCUUUUGUCUUGUUUGAGCUUCGAAAACACCCGUUUUGUGGUUGUGUUCGGGAAAUUUGUGGCAAAAUUGAACAUUUUUUCAAUGAUUCAGGAAAAUUGGCUUGUCUUUCGCUAAAACCGGACAAGAUUGUUCCACGCUUUGAAUAUACACUUGAAGGGUCCUCUAAGGUUCCAACUUUGUUGCAGUACUCAAGGUGUAAGGUAUGGUGGUGAUUAACGACAUUCUUGCCGCUAUGUGCUUUGAAUCAUUUGAUUUAUAUACUUGUUAAUGUUAGUUUUAUCUAUAAUUGUGUUUCUACACAAUACAAAGGACAUCCAUUGUCAAAUAUGGAAGUUUUAAAAUAAUGUUGUAUUGUUAAAUAUUGAAGGUUAAGGUUUAUGAUCUUUUGUUUAAAAUAAUGCUAUUGGAAAAGUUCACAACCUUGCAUAUUACUUUGUACACCGAGUCUCUCUUUGUUGGUCACUUCUCUAUGUUGGGAUAAUGCUUCAUAUUUCUCUACAUUCGGUUGGUUUUAAAUUUCUAUUCUCUUGUGGCAUCGUUCUUUGUUGACUUCUGAGUAAAAUUGUUUUCCUUGCUAGGAAGACAUGCACCAAAGGUUCCCAUCACUGAUAGUUAUAGCGAGCAAUAUUUUGAUGUUCUCUAUGCCUGAUAUAGCUUUGGCUGAAACUUGUGAGGCUGGUAACUCUUUUUUCAAUAUGCCUAUAUUGCUAGCGGUAGCCCUCAUUGGAGCCACGGUUGGAGGUAAGGUAGUGAGAUUCCUUUAUAUGGUUAUACUAAUUUUCCUAUUCCAAGGUCUUGGAGAGUGGAACUUCAUUUUGUUGCAAGAUGUUUGAGGAAAUUAUUUUUGUUUGUUGCAUCACUGAAAUAUUUUUUGUGUGCAACUACAAAUCUUUAAAUGCACGAGUCAUGCGGAAGUUAAGAGUCUUAGCUAUGUGAAGCAUGGAUGCAUCAUGAAAGCUCAGUUUUUACUUGGUGUCUUCAGGGUUGCUUGCUCGGCAAAGAAGAAAUGAAUUACAACGAGUAAACGAGCAAUUAAUCCAAAUCAAUGCAGCGCUAAGGAAGCAAGCCAAAAUUGAGUCUUAUGCUCCUAGCUUGAGUUAUGCUCCCAUUGGUGGUGGUAGGAUACCUGAUAAUGAAAUUAUUGUUGACCCAAAGAAGCAAGAGCUAAUUUCUAAGUUGAAAAAUGGAAAGAACUUUCUAAGGAAUCAACAAUUGGAUAAAGCAUUCACAGAGUUUAAGAAUGCACUUGAGCUUGCCCAGAAUCUACGGGAUCCUAUCGAAGAGAAAAAGGCCGCUAGAGGUCUAGGUUUGUCAUCUUUCCUUUGUUGCUUAUGAAUCAAAGGGAUUCCUCAAUUUGUUUUUUGUAUGUGCGUGUGUUAGAUGAAUGCCGAAUUUUACAAGGUGCUCCAUGAAUACAAUUGAAAUAUUGCCUUACAGGAGCUUCAUUGCAAAGACAAGGAAAAUAUCGAGAUGCUAUUAAAUACCAUUCCAUGGUUUUGGCCAUCUCUGAACGAGAAAGGGAGGACUCAGGGAGUACAGAGGCGUUUGGGGCAAUUGCUGAUUGUUACACUGAGCUUGGAGAACUUGAGAAAGCAGGUCAAUUCUAUGACAAGUAUAUUGCAAGAUUGGAAAAGGACUAGCAUGACAUGUUUCAUGUGGAUUUCUUUUCUCUUUCUAAUCCCCUCUAUUUGAAGUGAUUGAUUUUUUUGGCCGGAAUUGCUUAAAUUGACUUUUUGAGGCUUCAUGGAAAGGAUAUACCAUGUUUCAAAGAUUGAAAUAUUAGUCCUUAAGGUGAGAUUGUUUAGAUAUUAGAUUAGAUUGUUCUUAUUUGCAUUUUUAUUUUGUCAUGGAUAAUGUUUGAACUUAAUGUAGUUAGUAGAUAGUUUUAUAAUUUCAAGGAUGUUGUUUGAAUUUGAUGUUUGAGUAUUUAACAUAUAAUCUCUAGGUAUUGUUGAGUUGAAUUUGUAUUUAAUGCAUGUUAUAUUGGUUUACAUAACAGGUAUAUAAUUAAUUGCAUAUUACAAAGGGAUAUUUUUGUAUUGUUAGUCAAUUGUAAGAAAUUUUUAGAUAACUUUUCAAGAUUUUCCACAAAUUUAUCAACGGAUUAAUCUAUCAGUAAUAUACCUAUUGAAUAGUUCAUGGUUAAGUUACCCAUGAAAUAAUUUGUGAGUAAACUUACACAAAAAAAUUUGUUAGUAAUAAUAAAUUUUCCUGUAGUAUGGUGUUUAUGCUUGUUAGAAUAUUAUAUUAGAUUGUUCUUAUUUGCAUUUUUAUUUUAGCAUAUAUAUCAUUGGAACUUAAUGUUAGUAGAUAGUUUUAUAAUUCCAAGGAUAUUGUUUGAAUUUGAUGUUUGAGUAUACAAUAUAUAAUAUGUAGGUGAUGAGUUGAAUUUGCAUUUAAUGCAUGUUAUAUUGGUUUAUAUAACAGGUAUAUAAUUGAUUGCAUAAUACAAAGGGAUAUUUUUGUAUGGUUAUUAUUAUAUGAAAUUUAUUUUAGAUAAUUUUCCAAGCUUUUUUUUUGCAGAUGUAUGAACGGAUUAAUCCGUCACUGAUAUAGUAAUGGAGUAGUCCAUGGAUAAGUUAUCCAUAAAAUAAUUUGUUAGUAAAUUUACUUUAAAUUUUUGGUUAGAAAUAAUGAAUUUUCUUUUAGUGUUCGGUUCCAUGUUGUUAGUAAGACAGUUUGAGAACUAACGUUUUUAUAUAUUUGACUUAAAACUUUGCAUCUCUAGUAUAAUAGUUUGCAAAUUGCUAUUAAAUAUGAAUAAAAAACUUAAAUCUGUGAUAUGAUGAUGGACAUUAUGCAUUUUCAAUACUAAAAUUUUAUUUAUGUAACCCUUUGUGGGUUAAGUGGCAGAUAAAGAAGAUAGCAUCUGAAGCAGUUAUUUCCUCAGUUAUAUAAAGAAGAUAGACUCAAUGAUAUCUCUUUUAAGAGACUAUGUUGUUAUCAAAUCUUAUAUUCUCCAUUCUCAGAUGUACAAUACAGUUUUAUAACAAUUAUUUAUGUUACAAAACAGUUUCUGUAUGAUUGUGCCAUAUGUAUGUGUGUAGAUUUGUCAAUGCACAAAUCUAUAAUUAACAACCAUUUAGUUAUCCAGAAUUUCACUUUAUGCUGAGUUGUUUGGGAUUUGUGUAUGAUACAUGCCACAUUUAAACAACUCCAAUGUGAAGAUUUUCAUAUCAGAGCAUACUUGAGAGUUAAAAGUAGAAUAUCAAUGAGUCAUGAAACACAAUUUCUUUUUAUUCUCCUGGCUCACAAUCACAUGCACUGUCUUUGGCCAUAGAUUGAAAAGAUUGGAAAGUGCAAAAAAAAAUCUCAAUAAACUUCUCUAGUUAUAUAAAAAAGAAUUACAAAGAACAAAUCGUGUUAAAAAAUUAAUCAUUUAUGUAUGUAAAUAAUAAUCUAUUCGUGUUUUGAAAUGUUAUUUUUUUUUUAUGUAUAUAAGAAUGUUUGUAAUAAUUAUAUUAUUAAUAUUUAUUGAUAUAUUGUAGUAUUAUAUAUUAAAUAUAAAAGUAUCAACUUUUUAUUAUAUAUAUAUAUAUUUAUAUAAAUUUAAAAUCAAAUUAUUUAAAUAAUAAAUAUAAUAAAAUAAAAUAAUUUAAAUAUAAAGAUGUUUAAAUUGAACAUAAUUAAUUAUGUCUCGUGAUAUUCCUAAUACGCUAAAGCCAUAUUCAAUUAUAGUUUAAUAAAACAUUUAUUUUUUAAGGCUAUCAUUGUUACCAGCUCAAAACCGUAAAAUGUAUUAUUUUAUUCUCAAAUUAACUGUCUAUAUUCGAUCUUAUUUCCACCAAUAUUAAUAUAUACAAAAAGAGAAAAAUGGAUUCUAAAAGUAGAAUUUAAAUCUCUUACCUUUAUUUUCUUUCAAUUUUGUUUUUAUCCAUUUGGUGUUCACUGAUUCAAUUUCUUUCUUUAUUUUUUAUUCAUUCACUCUCACCUAACUUUGACCUGGUUUUUAAUUUCCAAAAAAACUAUAUUGAAAGUCACAAUUUUUUUUUCUUACUUCCAUUUAACAAUCCUAUAUAUUAAUUUGAUUAUUUAAGUAAUAUAUAAAUUAAAUUAUUAAAUAAAAUAUUAAUAAAAGUGGUUAUAGGAGGAUUGUAUAAACUUGCAAACAUAUGAUAUAUAAAUACCUUUGAAGGGUUAUAUAACUACACUAAACCUAAACCUAGGUAUAAAAAUAACAGUUAUUCCUUCCGCCGCAUCAAAGAGGAUAUAUAAACCUCUCUCUAUUUUCUAUCUAUCUACACAUUUUCAUCUCAUCUCUUUCUUUCUCCUCUCCAACCCUACCAUAUCAACAUUUCUAAUGCUAUUCACACUCUUCACUGCAACUGCUCUGCAUCAGAUCAGAAUUGUUCAACACAUGGCCUCCACUCUUCAAUGGGAAUCAUAGCAAUGACUCCUUCGGCUUCGCCAUCACUCUCUACUGUGAUUUCCUUGAUUAAUCAGUUACGAAGUCUCUGUCUUACUGUCUUAAGGGUGAGUCUCUGUCUUAAGGGUGACGUAACUUUAUUUUAUUUAUUAAGACCAACCGUUUGAAUUAUGCUUGUGGUACUAGUAGAUUAUUGUAUCAUCUUAUUUAGAUUUUUGUGUUAUUUUUUUCAUGAUAAAAAUCUUAUCUUAUUGAUUUAGGGUAAGUUUAGGGUAAGUGAGAAUGGAUUGUUGGUACUAGUAGAUUAUUGUAUCAUCUUAUUUAGAUUUUUGUGUUAUUUUUUUCAUGAUAAAAAUCUUAUCUUAGAUAAUGAUAUUGAUUUAGGGUAAGUGAGAAUGGAUUCUUUAAAACGAGAAGAGUAGUAAGAAGAGUGUUCUUGAAUGAGCGUGACAAUUAUUUAUGCACUGUUCUGCACUGUCAAAAUGUCAUAACUUUCGACAUAUUGACAAUUUUAAUUUUAAAAGCAACUGUCAUACCUAUUUACUUUAAUUUACUUUAAUUUAAUUAUGUUUUAACAAGUUCUAUGUACUUUAAUUCUGAUAUUGUUGAGCACCGGUUGCAGAUAAUCACGAGAACACCUAUGUUGUAAUGUUGUAAUGUAGAUGUAUGGGGUUUAUGUCAUUUUUAUGAUCUUAAAGGGGAACAUUGUUUAUAUUUUCAAUACGUUUUUCAUAUUAAUUUCUAAAUGUAAUAUUUGAGGCUUCUAACAAGCCUGCAUCACAUUUCAGAGGGUUUGCCCGCAUCACAUAUUUACUAUUUGAAGUAAACAAUUAAUCUUUGAAAUUAUUUUUCAAAUGUCAAUCGAAAGAGUAUGUAAUUCAGAAUUUUGUAAUGUUUAAUUUAUUUAUAAACAAUAAUUAUUUCUAUAUUAUUAGGUAUCAUUAAUUACUAUUUAUUUAUUGUUAUUAAUUCUUUGUUAUUUAUUAGUUAUUUUUUAUGUAAUAUUUAUUUUAUUUAAGAAGUAAAAAAAAUCUUAAAGAGAUGAAGACAAUAUGUAAAAACAUCAAAAUAAAUGAAGACUAAUUUUUUCUUAAGAUGAAAAUGAAUGAGAUUUACACUAAAAACUCAUUUGAAAGUUCAAAAAUCGCAUUCAGAAAAAUCAAAUCAUACAUGUAAUUCAGAGUUUUGUAAUGUGUAAUAAACAAUAAUUAUAUUAUUAUUAGGUAUCAUUAAUCAUUAUUUAAUUAUUUUUAUUAGUUCUUUAUUUUUUAUUAGUUAUUUAUUAUAUACUAUUUUUUUUAUAGAAUAACAAGUUCUAUUUAUUUAAUUCUGAUUUGUUUUUUAAACUGUAACGUGGGAAUCAGAGAAAGAACACAUUAUGGAAAAAGCUUCUGACUGAUCAGUCUUACUCUAGUUAGUAAGAAAGAGAGAAGUAAAGAGAAUGAAAUAGAAAAAGGAAGAAAAAAAGGAUAAAUAAAUUAUAAUUUAGUUAAUUUAAUUAGAGUUAAAAGAAUAAAAUAUAUUUUUAUCGUCAAUAAUUUGACUUAUUAUAUGUUUAUAUUCAUUAUUAUUAUAAUAAUAUGAGAGAAAAUAAAGAAAAAACAUCCACAUAAUCAAUAAUAGUACUUCCAAAUAAAUAUUAUUAAACGCUCGAUAUCAACAGAAAUUUAGGAGCAUAAUCACCAUUUGCAAGUGUGUAAUUCCAACUCGUAAAACUAAUAUUUAUUUUAUAUUGUGAAUUUAGUAUAUUAAAUACUAAAAAGGGUAAAAACACUAAAUGAAAAUUUUCAAAUAAAAAAAUAAAUAUGAUCACAUCUGUGUUUAUCAGUGGACAACAAAUUAAGGCUGUAUAAUAAGAAAGAGAAAAGUUUCAUUAACACCGUAAAAUAUAUAUAUAUAUAUAUAUAUAUAUAUAUAUAUCUAACAAACAUUUAUAUUAUGUAAUAAUAUUUUGAAUAAAUAAAAUAAAAAUGAAUAAUAUAUUAAUUUAUUGAAAUGUGAAAUGUAUGACUGUUUAGGGUUUCACUGUUCAAUAAGAAAACUAAGAGCAACAAAAUGUGACUGUACAAUACUCGGUGUCCUGGUUCUUGCAUUUAGGUGGAAUUUGACGCAUUGAGAAAUGUGUAGUUUUUAACAUUUGGUUUUUGGUAUCAGCCUUUUCCAAACUCAUACAUGCAGAUGGCCAACUUCUGGUUUGAUGCACCGGAAAGACAAAAAACAAUUUGGAGAUCCAAAUGGCUACAAAGGAUGCAACAUUACUGAGAAUUCCAAUGCCCACUCACUGCAAUCAAACUGUAGUUUCCAAGAA